GGAGGAAUAUUGGUCAAUGGGCGGGAGCCUGAACCAGCCAAGUCGCGUGAGGGAGGAAGGUCCUACGGAUUGUAAACCUCUUUAGCCGGGGAGCAACGUGCGCCACGUGUGGCGCAAUGAGAGUACCCGGAGAAUAAGCAUCGGCUAACUCCGUGCCAGCAGCCGCGGUAAUACGGAGGAUGCGAGCGUUAUCCGGAUUUAUUGGGUUUAAAGGGUGCGCAGGCGGCGCGAAAAGUCAGCGGUCAAAGUUCCGGGCUCAACCCGGUGACGCCGUUGAAACUUUCGGGCUGGAGUUCGUGCGAGGGAGGCGGAAUGCGUUGUGUAGCGGUGAAAUGCAUAGAUAUUAGGAGGAACACCGGUGGCGAAGGCGGCUUACUGGACGAUCACUGACGCUGAGGCUCGAAAGCGUGGGGAGCAAACAGGAUUAGAUACCCUGGUAGU
RNAcentral lists this ribosomal RNA (441 nucleotides) under uncultured Porphyromonadaceae bacterium. Its description in RNAcentral is "bacterial SSU rRNA". It matches the Rfam family "Bacterial small subunit ribosomal RNA", at positions 355 to 794 of the family's 1533-position model. The record is from RNAcentral. Lineage: Bacteria; Pseudomonadati; Bacteroidota; Bacteroidia; Bacteroidales; Porphyromonadaceae.